CAGCCACAUCACAUUGAAACUUCAGUUCCUGUACAAUCACCAAAGUUAAGCCACAUUGAGCCUGGUCAGUAUCUAGAUAGGUGACCACUUGGGAAUACCAGGUGCUGUUAG
Non-coding RNA from Acanthosepion pharaonis, 111 nucleotides. Lineage: Eukaryota; Metazoa; Mollusca; Cephalopoda; Sepiida; Sepiidae. The record is from the annotation of a GenBank genome assembly.